This 408-nucleotide ribosomal RNA is filed under the name uncultured bacterium. Its description in RNAcentral is "partial 16S ribosomal RNA". It matches the Rfam family "Bacterial small subunit ribosomal RNA", at positions 30 to 526 of the family's 1533-position model. The record is from RNAcentral.
AGUGAACGCUGGCGGCGUGCCUAAUACAUGCAAGUCGAACGAAGUGGCGAACGGGUGAGUAAUACUUGGGUAACCUGCCCUCCUUUUUGGGAUAAGCCUUGGAAACGGGGUCUAAUACCGAAUAAAGGGGGAUGGGCUCGCGGCCUAUCAGCUUGUUGGUGGGGUGAUGGCCUACCAAGGCGGUGACGGGUAGCCGGCCUGAGAGGUGGCAGGGCCACAUUGGGAGUGAGAUACGGCGCAGACACCUGCGGGAGGCAGCAGUGUGGGAUAUGGAACAAUGGGAGAAAGACUGAUGCAGCGACGCCGAGUGGGGGAUGAAGGCUUUCGGGUUGUAAACCUAUUACGCUAACGAACGGGUAGGUGGAGAAGAAACGCCGGCUAACGACGUGCCAGCAGCCGCGGUAAUUC